Molecule: ribosomal RNA, 494 nt
Filed under: uncultured bacterium
Lineage: Bacteria
Description: partial 16S ribosomal RNA
Rfam family: Bacterial small subunit ribosomal RNA
Source: RNAcentral
GACGAACGCUGGCGGCGUGCUUAACACAUGCAAGUCGAACGGAAAGGCCUGCUUUCCCUUGUGGAUUGCGGGUACUCGAGUGGCGAACGGGUGAGUAACACGUGAGUGAUCUGCCCCCAACUUGGGUAUAAGCCUGGGAAACUGGGUCUAAUUCCCGAUAGGACUGCAGGGUGGUGCCUGUGGUGGAAAACGAUUUUCUAGUGGUUGGGGCUGAGCUCGCGGCCUAUCAGCUUGUUGGUGGGGUAAUGGCCUACCAAGGCGGCGACGGGUAGCCGGCCUGGGAGGGUGGACGGCCACAUUGGGACUGAGAUACGGCCCAGACUCCUACGGGAGGCAGCAGUGGGGAAUAUUGCACAAUGGGCGGAAGCCUGAUGCAGCGACGCCGCGUGGGGGAUGACGGCCUUCGGGUUGUAAACUCCUUUCGACCGCGAGGAAGCCACCUGGUUGGAAGGGUGGUGACGGUAGUGGGAGAAGAAGCACCGGCUAACUACGUG